Molecule: ribosomal RNA, 460 nt
Filed under: uncultured bacterium
Lineage: Bacteria
Description: partial 16S ribosomal RNA
Rfam family: Bacterial small subunit ribosomal RNA
Source: RNAcentral
CCUACGGGAGGCAGCAGUGAGGAAUAUUGGUCAAUGGACGAGAGUCUGAACCAGCCAAGUAGCGUGAAGGAUGACUGCCCUAUGGGUUGUAAACUUCUUUUAUAUGGGAAUAAAACGUUCCACGUGUGGGAUUUUGUAUGUACCAUAUGAAUAAGGAUCGGCUAACUCCGUGCCAGCAGCCGCGGUAAUACGGGGGAUCCGAGCGUUAUCCGGAUUUAUUGGGGUUAAAGGGAGCGUAGGUGGAUUGUUAAGUCAGUUGUGAAAGUUUGCGGCUCAACCGUAAAAUUGCAGUUGAAACUGGCAGUCUUGAGUACAGUAGAGGUGGGCGGAAUUCGUGGUGUAGCGGUGAAAUGCUUAGAUAUCACGAAGAACUCCGAUUGCGAAGGCAGUUCACUGGACUGCAACUGACACUGAGGCUCGAAAGUGUGGGUAUCAAACAGGAUUAGAUACCCUGGUAGUC